Long non-coding RNA from Corvus hawaiiensis (hawaiian crow), 125 nucleotides. RefSeq lists it as uncharacterized. The transcript is spliced from 2 exons. Lineage: Eukaryota; Metazoa; Chordata; Aves; Passeriformes; Corvidae. The record is from RefSeq and is a predicted model, not a curated record.
UCCAUUGCUAUCACUGUUUACAUUACUAUUCCAGACCUCCAUCCUACAGGUAUCAUUGGCCAGUGGAAUGCACGAUGGCCUGAUCCUUUGCAUAUCCUAGAAUGGGUCUUUUUGCCUCACCAGCC